GAUAAAGUGGCUGAAGUUUUAGGUAAUAAAUUGUAAAUUUAUUCAUGGUUAAUAACCCUUUAUCA
This 65-nucleotide transfer RNA is filed under the name Megacopta lobata. RNAcentral's name for it is "tRNA-Tyr". The record is from RNAcentral. Lineage: Eukaryota; Metazoa; Arthropoda; Insecta; Hemiptera; Plataspidae.